GCCCCGGUAGUGAAGAUUCUUCUAUCUCACCAUGGAGCCCUUAAACCUUGUGUAAGAGAUUACUAAGACGUUACAGGAGUUACGGAAAAGCACCAGUGAAUCUUAAUAUCAAGACAGGAGGAAGAGUUUAUGGAACUACAGGAACAAAAGUCAAAGGGGUAGAGCUCGAUGCACCUAGAAGUAUUAAUGGAGUUCCACUCUUGGAGGUAGAUUUGGAUUCUUUUGAAGAUAAACCAUGGUGUAAACCUGGCGCUGACCUUUCUGAUUAUUUUAAUUAUGGGUUUAACGAAGAUACCUGGAACGCUUACUGUGAAAAACAAAAAAGGAUACGAAUGGGGCUUGAAGUUAUAGCAGUUACCUCAAUUACAAAUAUAUUUAUGGUAAUUAGUAAACAUUUCAAAAUACUCCUGUCUUUUCUAUUUUCUAUUCACUUUUUUUCCCUAAUCACUUUUUCCCCAUAAAGGUGAUUAAAUACUG
Long non-coding RNA from Sorex fumeus (smoky shrew), 477 nucleotides. RefSeq lists it as uncharacterized. The record is from RefSeq and is a predicted model, not a curated record. The transcript has 4 exons. Lineage: Eukaryota; Metazoa; Chordata; Mammalia; Eulipotyphla; Soricidae.